CACAUUCAUUAACCUAAAACCUUUCUGCUUCAUACUAAUCUCUCUUCAGCCGCAGCUUUCUCGCCGGUGGUGGCUCCACCACCGUGUUCCAGCUUCUAGGCCUCCUCAACCGAAGUAACUCCUCCACCCCCUCCCACGUCGCCGCAAGCCUGGUUUAUUCCGACCAGAAGCACCUUCGUCGCAAGCCCCUUUUCAUAUGACAAGAAUCACCUCAUCCGUCGCAAGCACGCCUCCGGCACAAACUUUUGCGAGCCUAUGUAAGCUCCUAUCACCCAGUGUGGAAUUUGGUUUAUCCAAUUUGAGAGAACACAAUUUCAAAGUGAUAAAGCUAAAGCAGUGCAUAUGCAAUUUCAAAGUGCUAGGAAGUCCCAAGUUGGAAGACUUGAAGUACAGCAAGGACAGCAAAGAAUGGUUUUAAAGUGGAAGUCCCAAAAAUGCUUUGAGGAGUGGUAGAAGAUAUUGCUCCCUUUCUUUAUGGAUUUCUUGAUGUAACAUGCCUGCAAAGCAAUUGCUUGCCAUUUUCUAUAAAAAAAAAUUGUAAAUUGAUCUCAUUAACUCUCUUAUUGUCUAUUUCAACCAAUAAAAUUAUGUCAUGUUAACUAACAAUGCAUGGAUAUGGCAUUUUUAUAA
This is a long non-coding RNA of Lotus japonicus, 630 nucleotides long. RefSeq lists it as uncharacterized. The transcript is spliced from 2 exons. The record is from RefSeq and is a predicted model, not a curated record. Lineage: Eukaryota; Viridiplantae; Streptophyta; Magnoliopsida; Fabales; Fabaceae.